RNAcentral lists this long non-coding RNA (190 nucleotides) under Struthio camelus australis. Its description in RNAcentral is "lncRNA (ENSSCUG00000004807.1)". Lineage: Eukaryota; Metazoa; Chordata; Aves; Struthioniformes; Struthionidae. The record is from RNAcentral.
UCUGCACAAUGCCUGAGACAUGAGUUGCAAUAGCCCUAAAAUAUCUCUCUCUUUUUUUAGGGGACAUACAGGCAAUUCGUAAGCACUGAGGAAGACUGAAAGAACAUAAAUACAAUCUUGAGGAACGAAUUAUAGUCUCAGAAUCUAUGCUGCUGCAGUGCUGAGAGGCCAUGAGAUUCUUGAACUGCUG